Molecule: ribosomal RNA, 261 nt
Filed under: uncultured prokaryote
Description: partial 16S ribosomal RNA
Rfam family: Bacterial small subunit ribosomal RNA
Source: RNAcentral
UACGUAGGUGGCGAGCGUUAUCCGGAAUUAUUGGGCGUAAAGAGCGCGCAGGUGGUUGAUUAAGUCUGAUGUGAAAGCCCACGGCUUAACCGUGGAGGGUCAUUGGAAACUGGCCGACUUGAGUGCAGAAGAGGGAAGUGGAAUUCCAUGUGUAGCGGUGAAAUGUGUAGAGAUAUGGAGGAACACCAGUGGCGAAGGCGGCUUCCUGGUCUGUAACUGACACUGAGGCGCGAAAGCGUGGGGAGCAAACAGGAUUAGAUA